Molecule: ribosomal RNA, 433 nt
Filed under: uncultured bacterium
Lineage: Bacteria
Description: partial 16S ribosomal RNA
Rfam family: Bacterial small subunit ribosomal RNA
Source: RNAcentral
AGCGAACGCUGGCGGCAGGCCUAACACAUGCAAGUCGAACGAACUCUUCGGAGUUAGUGGCGGACGGGUGAGUAACACGUGGGAACGUGCCUUUUGGUUCGGAAUAACUCAGGGAAACUUGUGCUAAUACCGAAUGUGCCCUUCGGGGGAAAGAUUUAUCGCCAUUAGAGCGGCCCGCGUCUGAUUAGCUAGUUGGUGAGGUAACGGCCCACCAAGGCGAUGAUCAGUAGCUGGUCUGAGAGGAUGACCAGCCACACUGGGACUGAGACACGGCCCAGACUCCUACGGGAGGCAGCAGUGGGGAAUCUUGCGCAAUGGGCGAAAGCCUGACGCAGCCAUGCCGCGUGAAUGAUGAAGGUCUUAGGAUUGUAAAAUUCUUUCACCGGGGACGAUAAUGACGGUACCCGGAGAAGAAGCCCCGGCUAACUUCGUG